Molecule: long non-coding RNA, 1082 nt
Organism: Symphalangus syndactylus (siamang)
Lineage: Eukaryota; Metazoa; Chordata; Mammalia; Primates; Hylobatidae
Source: RefSeq, a predicted model, not a curated record
CGUCACUUCCGCCAGCUGCCACCACCCUCGCCUCCCUUCUUAAAGAGGCCGCAGACUGCGGGCACUCGGGGAACGAUGUCGUCAAGGGCUCCCGGUUCCCGGGUUUAUAUGGCUUCCAUCGCCAGCCGGAUCCACCUCAACUCAGCCGUUACUUCCCGCAAGACGUCCUCUUAGAACCAGGGCAGUUUUUUGCUCCUUCACAAUAGCUCCACCGCACGGGGUUCUAUUGGUCCCUGCGUCGGUCUACAAGAGCCUUGACGACAAGGGGCUGGACUUGUCCCUGAGGAAUCCCUGAGAAGGUCAUCCAAACGGGCCUGCAGCUUGCUCAGAACCUUGCCACUGUCCGUUUGUUGAAACUCUGGGGCGAAGGCACUGUGGCCUGGUGGAGGUGGCGCCAGCUGCUGCUGGACCUCCUCAGUCUCCUGGUCGAUGGCGCGAGUGAAGGCAGCUAUCUGCAGCAGCGGCCACAGAGGUUGAGGCAGCAGAAGCAGGGCAUCAUGGAGCACCCACAGUUUGGAGUUGGCCCAGCUAUCUCCUCCCUUCGCCUACACCCCUUCCCCUGGGCACUCACGUGGGCUCGCGAGCCAUCUUCUGCUGAUGGAUCUGCUCCACCCUGCCUUUGUCCCCGCUGGUCUGGCUGAAGUAGUCCCAGAAGCCUUUCCGUGCCUGGAUGGCCGAAAACGCUGCGGAGAGGGACUAGGAACUGAGGUUGAGGAGAUCAAGUGGCCUGUCCAUCAUCACACACUAAGAGUUGCAACCAGAAUCAGAACCCAGGUGCUUGGCUCUGGUGGUUCGAGAGAGCAGAGUAUGACCAAGUCACGAAGGGGCUUGUGCAAGCAGUCACUGAAAGGUUAGAGUCAGCCAGCAUGAGACGGAAGAGGAGAGGCCAUUAUGUUUCAAUGCUGGUUGCAGACAGAAGCAUGGACAGGCUUGGAGUUUAAAGCAGCUUCUGGAUGACCUUCCUAGGAAUCACAUGCAUUGAUAUUACAGGCAUAAUAAGGCGAGCUUCCCAUUUGUAGCCACUUACCAAUGAGCGUUUGAGAGUCACUCCUUCUGAACUGCAAACCGAAAUGGUCAUUCCU